UUGUAUCACGCUGGCGGCGUGCUUACACAUGCAAGUCGAACGGUGAAGCAGAGCUUGCUCUGUGGAUCAGUGGCGAACGGGUGAGUAACACGUGAGCAAUCUGCCCCUGACUCUGGGAUAAGCGCUGGAAACGGCGUCUAAUACCGGAUACGAGCUGCGACCGCAUGGUCAGUAGCUGGAAAGAAUUUCGGUCAGGGAUGAGCUCGCGGCCUAUCAGCUUGUUGGUGAGGUAAUGGCUCACCAAGGCGUCGACGGGUAGCCGGCCUGAGAGGGUGACCGGCCACACUGGGACUGAGACACGGCCCAGACUCCUACGGGAGGCAGCAGUGGGGAAUAUUGCACAAUGGGCGAAAGCCUGAUGCAGCAACGCCGCGUGAGGGAUGACGGCCUUCGGGUUGUAAACCUCUUUUAGCAGGGAAGAAGCGAAAGUGACGGUACCUGCAGAAAAAGCGCCGGCUAACUACGUGCCAGCAGCCGCGGUAAUACGUAGGGCGCAAGCGUUAUCCGGAAUUAUUGGGCGUAAAGAGCUCGUAGGCGGUCUGUCGCGUCUGCUGUGAAAACCCGAGGCUCAACCUCGGGCCUGCAGUGGGUACGGGCAGACUAGAGUGCGGUAGGGGAGAUUGGAAUUCCUGGUGUAGCGGUGGAAUGCGCAGAUAUCAGGAGGAACACCGAUGGCGAAGGCAGAUCUCUGGGCCGUAACUGACGCUGAGGAGCGAAAGGGUGGGGAGCAAACAGGCUUAGAUACCCUGGUAGUCCACCCCGUAAACGUUGGGAACUAGUUGUGGGGUCCAUUCCACGGAUUCCGUGACGCAGCUAACGCAUUAAGUUCCCCGCCUGGGGAGUACGGCCGCAAGGCUAAAACUCAAAGGAAUUGACGGGGACCCGCACAAGCGGCGGAGCAUGCGGAUUAAUUCGAUGCAACGCGAAGAACCUUACCAAGGCUUGACAUAUAGAGGAAACGUCUGGAAACAGUCGCCCCGCAAGGUCUCUAUACAGGUGGUGCAUGGUUGUCGUCAGCUCGUGUCGUGAGAUGUUGGGUUAAGUCCCGCAACGAGCGCAACCCUCGUUCUAUGUUGCCAGCACGUAAUGGUGGGAACUCAUGGGAUACUGCCGGGGUCAACUCGGAGGAAGGUGGGGAUGACGUCAAAUCAUCAUGCCCCUUAUGUCUUGGGCUUCACGCAUGCUACAAUGGCCGGUACAAAGGGCUGCAAUACCGUGAGGUGGAGCGAAUCCCAAAAAGCCGGUCCCAGUUCGGAUUGAGGUCUGCAACUCGACCUCAUGAAGUCGGAGUCGCUAGUAAUCGCAGAUCAGCAACGCUGCGGUGAAUACGUUCCCGGGUCUUGUACACACCGCCCGUCAAGUCAUGAAAGUCGGUAACACCUGAAGCCGGUGGCCCAACCCUUGUGGAGGGAGCCGUCGAAGGUGGGAUCGGUAAUUAGAGCUC
RNAcentral lists this ribosomal RNA (1444 nucleotides) under Microbacterium sp. RNAcentral's name for it is "bacterial SSU rRNA". It matches the Rfam family "Bacterial small subunit ribosomal RNA". The record is from RNAcentral. Lineage: Bacteria; Bacillati; Actinomycetota; Actinomycetes; Micrococcales; Microbacteriaceae.